This 75-nucleotide non-coding RNA is filed under the name Otolemur garnettii (small-eared galago). The record is from RNAcentral. Lineage: Eukaryota; Metazoa; Chordata; Mammalia; Primates; Galagidae.
UAAAAUGGCUUUUUGCCUUCUGCCCUUACUGGAGAAUUCUGCUAAUGCCGGGGUGAGGUAGUAAGUUGUAUUGUU